CAAGUCGAACGAUGAAGCUUCUAGCUUGCUAGAAGUGGAUUAGUGGCGCACGGGUGAGUAAGGUAUAGUUAAUCUGCCCUACACAAGAGGACAACAGUUGGAAACGACUGCUAAUACUCUAUACUCCUGCUUAACACAAGUUGAGUAGGGAAAGUUUUUCGGUGUAGGAUGAGACUAUAUAGUAUCAGCUAGUUGGUAAGGUAAUGGCUUACCAAGGCUAUGACGCUUAACUGGUCUGAGAGGAUGAUCAGUCACACUGGAACUGAGACACGGUCCAGACUCCUACGGGAGGCAGCAGUAGGGAAUAUUGCGCAAUGGGGGAAACCCUGACGCAGCAACGCCGCGUGGAGGAUGACACUUUUCGGAGCGUAAACUCCUUUUCUUAGGGAAGAAUUCUGACGGUACCUAAGGAAUAAGCACCGGCUAACUCCGUGCCAGCAGCCGCGGUAAUACGGAGGGUGCAAGCGUUACUCGGAAUCACUGGGCGUAAAGGGCGCGUAGGCGGAUUAUCAAGUCUCUUGUGAAAUCUAAUGGCUUAACCAUUAAACUGCUUGGGAAACUGAUAGUCUAGAGUGAGGGAGAGGCAGAUGGAAUUGGUGGUGUAGGGGUAAAAUCCGUAGAUAUCACCAAGAAUACCCAUUGCGAAGGCGAUCUGCUGGAACUCAACUGACGCUAAGGUGCGAAAGCGUGGGGAGCAAACAGGAUUAGAUACCCUGGUAGUCCACGCCCUAAACGAUGUACACUAGUUGUUGGGGUGCUAGUCAUCUCAGUAAUGCAGCUAACGCAUUAAGUGUACCGCCUGGGGAGUACGGUCGCAAGAUUAAAACUCAAAGGAAUAGACGGGGACCCGCACAAGCGGUGGAGCAUGUGGUUUAAUUCGAAGAUACGCGAAGAACCUUACCUGGGCUUGAUAUCCUAAGAACCUUAUAGAGAUAUGAGGGUGCUAGCUUGCUAGAACUUAGAGACAGGUGCUGCACGGCUGUCGUCAGCUCGUGUCGUGAGAUGUUGGGUUAAGUCCCGCAACGAGCGCAACCCACGUAUUUAGUUGCUAACGGUUCGGCCGAGCACUCUAAAUAGACUGCCUUCGUAAGGAGGAGGAAGGUGUGGACGACGUCAAGUCAUCAUGGCCCUUAUGCCCAGGGCGACACACGUGCUACAAUGGCAUAUACAAUGAGACGCAAUACCGCGAGGUGGAGCAAAUCUAUAAAAUAUGUCCCAGUUCGGAUUGUUCUCUGCAACUCGAGAGCAUGAAGCCGGAAUCGCUAGUAAUCGUAGAUCAGCCAUGCUACGGUGAAUACGUUCCCGGGUCUUGUACUCACCGCCCGUCACACCAUGGGAGUUGAUUUCACUCGAAGCCGGAAUACUAAACUA
This 1371-nucleotide ribosomal RNA is filed under the name Campylobacter jejuni. Its description in RNAcentral is "bacterial SSU rRNA". It matches the Rfam family "Bacterial small subunit ribosomal RNA". Lineage: Bacteria; Pseudomonadati; Campylobacterota; Epsilonproteobacteria; Campylobacterales; Campylobacteraceae. The record is from RNAcentral.